Molecule: ribosomal RNA, 292 nt
Filed under: uncultured bacterium
Lineage: Bacteria
Description: partial 16S ribosomal RNA
Rfam family: Bacterial small subunit ribosomal RNA
Source: RNAcentral
GUGCCAGCAGCCGCGGUAAUACGUAGGUGACGAGCGUUAUCCGGAAUUACUGGGCGUAAAGCGCACGCAGGCGGCGCCUUAAGUCUGGCGUGAAAUCUCUCGGCUUAACCGGGAGGGGUCGUUGGAGACUGAGGUGCUUGAGGCGAUGAGAGGGGUGUAGAAUUCCCGGUGUAGUGGUGGAAUGCGUAGAUAUCGGGAGGAAUACCAGUGGCGAAAGCGACACCCUGGCGUUAGCCUGACGCUCAUGUGCGAAAGCGUGGGGAGCGAACGGGAUUAGAAACCCUCGUAGUCC